This 2448-nucleotide long non-coding RNA is filed under the name Nicotiana tabacum (common tobacco). RNAcentral's name for it is "long non-coding RNA (NTAB_LNC009199)". Lineage: Eukaryota; Viridiplantae; Streptophyta; Magnoliopsida; Solanales; Solanaceae. The record is from RNAcentral.
GAUCUGGGUUGAAGUUGUGUUGUAGCAAAUGGAUGUCAACAUGGAUGUUGGAAACAAAAAUAAGCUGCAGGGAUCCCUCGCAGUAGCCUCGCACCAUGUUAACUUCUACGAGAAGAGGUGAUAUUAUGGUAUUUCAAGAAGUGAAAACAAGUGCAGCUACGGCCCACUUACGGCCCACUGUGAGAUCAUCACGAGAGCGUAACUUGGAAAUCAAGCGUCUCAUGCAACAGCCACGUGAAGCGAGAAAGCCAACUUGUCUUGGCCACUAAGGCGCGCGACAGCCUCACGCUGCGAGCGUAUCGCGAGGGUGCCUAUGCUAUUUUUAUAGAAAGCAUGUCGGGCAGAGAGAGUUGGACGGCAGUCGGGAGCUAAGGCAUGGGACGGAUUCCAACCAAGAUUCAACCCAAAAACUGAAGUGAGGUAUUUAUGCUCUAUCCAUGUUAUUUAAUGUUAAAUAACAUAAUUAAUGACACCUAAAACUCAUGAUCCUUCUUACAUUUUCUAAAAUUUACCAAGUUCUUCAAAGAAGAUAAGAGUUGGGAUUUGGUCUUAGAGGUAAUUCUCUUGCCUUGCCUUGAUAUAUAGCCUCUAUGAGGUAUGUGUAAGCUAUUUAUGAAGUGUAUUGAUUUCUCAUGGGGAGUUGGGUGGGAUGACAUUAAUGGAGGCUAUUUUUGGUCUAUGGUAAUGAUCAGAACGGGAUGGAUAAGUCAAGGCCUCACCCUAGCUAUUUAAUUAUAUGGAUUAUUGCCUAGACUUGGUUCUGAAAAUGGAGAACAGAUUAUUGACGCAGUUAGGCCAUUGUAUAUGUAAACUGAGGCUUGUUGACAAGUGAAGCCAGCGUAAGGGGGAGACUUGACCUUCUAAGAGUGAUUUUCCCUAAAUGCAUGUCAAAGAAGUAUUAGGGAGAGGUGAUUAGGCAGAACACAACACAUUUUCAGGUUACCGAGGACAUGACCCUCAAUAAGAGAAUGUGGAAGUCGAGGAUUAGGGUAGAAGGUUAGAAGGUAAUCGAGCGUACUUCCUUUCCGUAUCAGUAGUAAUAGUAUUAUUCUCAUAUUUUCUUAUUCUUCGAUUUCUAUUACUACCUGUUGUUUCAUUUGCUUCGGCUAUCUUAUUAUCUUGCUAUUGUUACUGCUUCUUUUUCCAUGGCUUCUCCACUAUCAUAUUUCUUUCUUAAAAUUUUUGUGAUUAUGCUUUUCUUGAGCCGAGGGUCUAUUAGAAACAUCUCUACCUUCACAAGGUAGGGAUAAGGUUUGCAUAUACACUACCCUCCCCAUAACCCACUUAUAAUAUUACACUAGGUAUGUUGUUGUUGUUGUUGCAUGCCUUUAAAGUGUUUGACUUAAUGCAUGAAAGACAUUUUGAAUAUUUUGUGACAUAUGUACAUGCGGGGAAGAGCCUGUGCUAAUGUUGCCAAAUUGCGAAAUACUAAAAAAUAAAUACAAAUGCAUGGAAUAGGAGUCAUUUGGCAUCAAUAUGAUAUUUUGGGAUGAAAAACGAGAUGUUUAGAAAACCUUUGAUACAUAUACCUAAUUCGAAUCGAAUUAUGACGUUUUGGUGGAUACAUGGGUUGUCAUAUGAAUGAUUAGUUGUCUUGAAGGCAUUGUAAUGAAAGAAUUUAUCAUGAUUGUGAGUCAAUGUUCUUGUAUAUAUAAAUGUUCAUGCAUAAAUGAGGUAGAGAUCUCCAAAGCUAUACAAGCUAAUCGUGCCUAUCGAGGUAGAUGCCUCUAAGCUAGAAAGGACUAAUUACUUUUCGAGGGUGAGGCAUCCAAUGCCUAAAAAAACUAAUUGUCGAGGUUGAGGCGUCAAUGUUCUAAGGAGCUAAUUCUCAAGAUUGAGGCCUCCAAACCAUGAUUGUCAAGUAAGAUUCCUUAGACACUAUGCAUGAUAGAUUAUGGUCGUGAUAUAGACCUCCCACGUGCUUAAUGAAUGUUGUGCUUCAAUGCCCAAACAUGAAUGAUGAAUGAUGUUUAAGGUGGAUGCUCAGCUUGCUAGAUUUUUUACGUUGAUGAAGCAUAUAAUGUUUUACCAAAUCUUGUCCCGCCAUUUAGUAUCUAUUUACUAAGUACCUAGCACACUCACUUCCUAAUUGUUGUUUUCUACAGAUAUGGAGGCUCUAAUUGUGGAUACUCUCUCCUUGUUCCGCUACGCAUUCGGUGGGGAGCCUCACUCAUGAUCCGGUGGAGGCCAAUUUUAUAGUUCUGUUCUUUGCAAAGCCAGGUUGCAUCCCGUGUACACUAAACAUUCUUUUGUUAAUCUAGUGGCUCAUGACUAGUCCUUAAUUGGUAAUACAUUCUUUUGGGGUAUAUAUGACAUUGACAUCUUCAUAUGGAACUUUUACUUUAAUGACAAUACGAGGACCUUAUGUGCAAAUAGUUGUUGCCUAAUGGUAAGGUGCCGCCAAGAGCCGCUUUGCAUGUAUAUGAUGGCACAGGGAAACUCGGUUGU